GGGGGUAUAGCUCAGUUGGUAGAGCGCUUGCAUGGCAUGCAAGAGGUCAACGGUUCGAUUCCGUUUACCUCCACCA
RNAcentral lists this transfer RNA (76 nucleotides) under Polaromonas sp. RNAcentral describes it as "tRNA-Ala". It matches the Rfam family "tRNA". From Rfam's summary of the family: Transfer RNA (tRNA) molecules are approximately 80 nucleotides in length. Their secondary structure includes four short double-helical elements and three loops (D, anti-codon, and T loops). The record is from RNAcentral. Lineage: Bacteria; Pseudomonadati; Pseudomonadota; Betaproteobacteria; Burkholderiales; Comamonadaceae.